CAUUGGGUGUGAUAAUUAUCUACGCCAUUUCUGAUGUGAAGCAGUUUAUAUAAAGUUCAGCUUUCUAACCGUCCAUUGACUUGGACAAUCAUAAUUGACUAUUUGACCUCAAAUCAGGUAGGACUACCCGCUGAACUUAAGCAUAUCAAUAAGCGGAGGAAAAGAAACUAACAAGGAUUCCCCUAGUAACUGCGAGUGAAGCGGGAAAAGCUCAAAUUUAAAAUCUGGUGGUUCUUGUGAUCAUCCGAGUUGUAAUCUAGAGAAGUGUUAUCCGCGCUGGACCGUGUAAAAGUUUUCCCUAGA
RNAcentral lists this ribosomal RNA (303 nucleotides) under uncultured Clitocybe. RNAcentral's name for it is "eukaryotic LSU rRNA". The stretch from base 104 to 303 matches the Rfam family "Eukaryotic large subunit ribosomal RNA", at positions 1 to 196 of the family's 3401-position model. Lineage: Eukaryota; Fungi; Basidiomycota; Agaricomycetes; Agaricales; Tricholomataceae. The record is from RNAcentral.